RNAcentral lists this ribosomal RNA (497 nucleotides) under uncultured bacterium. RNAcentral describes it as "partial 16S ribosomal RNA". It matches the Rfam family "Bacterial small subunit ribosomal RNA", at positions 28 to 507 of the family's 1533-position model. The record is from RNAcentral.
GAUGAACGCUGGCGGCGUGCCUAAUACAUGCAAGUCGAGCGAACAGACGAGGAGCUUGCUCCUCUGACGUUAGCGGCGGACGGGUGAGUAACACGUGGAUAACCUACCUAUAAGACUGGGAUAACUUCGGGAAACCGGAGCUAAUACCGGAUAAUAUAUUGAACCGCAUGGUUCAAUAGUGAAAGACGGUUUUGCUGUCACUUAUAGCUGGAUCCGCGCCGCAUUAGCUAGUUGGUAAGGUAACGGCUUACCAAGGCAACGAUGCGUAGCCGAACUGAGAGGGGGGUACGCCCCACCGGAACUUGAGACCGGACCCAGCGCCUAAGGGAGGCAGCAGUAGGGAAUCUUCCGCAAUGGGCGAAAGCUUGACGGAGCAACGCUGCGUGAGUGAUGAAGGUCUUCGGAUCGUAAAACUCUGUUAUUAGGGAAGAACAAAUGUGUAAGUAACUAUGCACGUCUUGACGGUACCUAAUCAGAAAGCCACGGCUAACUACGUG